Molecule: ribosomal RNA, 239 nt
Filed under: uncultured bacterium
Lineage: Bacteria
Description: partial 16S ribosomal RNA
Rfam family: Bacterial small subunit ribosomal RNA
Source: RNAcentral
GAUCAUGGCUCAGGAUGAACGCUGGCGGCGUGCUUAACACAUGCAAGUCGAGCGAAGCACUUAAGUUCGAUUCUUCGGAUGAAGACUUUUGUGACUGAGCGGCGGACGGGUGAGUAACGCGUGGGUAACCUGCCUCAUACAGGGGGGAUAACAGUUAGAAAUGGCUGCUAAUACCGCAUAAGACCACAGUACUGCAUGGUACAGUGGUAAAAACUCCGGUGGUAUGAGAUGGACCCGCG